RNAcentral lists this ribosomal RNA (275 nucleotides) under uncultured prokaryote. Its description in RNAcentral is "partial 16S ribosomal RNA". It matches the Rfam family "Bacterial small subunit ribosomal RNA", at positions 524 to 798 of the family's 1533-position model. The record is from RNAcentral.
CACGUAGGAGGCAAACGUUAUCCGGAUUUACUGGGCGUAAAGCGCGUGUAGGUGGUUCUGUAAGUAGGGCGUGAAAGCUCCCGGCUCAACUGGGAGAGGCCGUUCUAAACUGCAGAGCUAGAGGAUGGUAGAGGUAGGUGGAAUUCCAGGUGUAGCGGUGGAAUGCGCAGAUAUCUGGAGGAACACCAGUGGCGAAGGCGGCCUCCUGGACCAUUCCUGACACUCAGACGCGAAAGCUAUGGUAGCAAACGGGAUUAGAUACCCCCGUAGUCCCU